AAGUCAGCUGUGUGAACUGACAAAAACGGUCGAACCUUAAUAUGCACAAACAAAACCGCCUUUUAAAAACUGUUCCGCCCGUUUCCAUCUGCUAAACUGCCAAGAGGUUGUGCUUUUAAAUUGAAUAAAUAAAUAAAUAAUUUUUUUAAGCAGAGACCCAACUGUGUUUGUUAAGCUUUCAACUGAAUCACUCUUGGCAGUGGUUAAUUCCUUCAUUUUUGCAAAUCUUAAAGGUUGUUGUAAGAGGAAUCUACAGUCUCCCUCUUCCUGUAGAAUUGCUACGACAAUUUAGCGUGCCGCCCCUGUAGACCAGGUCUAUAAACCGCGUCCUGACCUCGCCUACGUGGCCCCUUGUAGACCAGGUCUAUAAACCGCGUCCUGACGCCCCCUGUAGACCAGGUCUAUAAACCGCGUCCUGACGCCCCCUGUAGACCAGGUCUAUAAACCGCGUCCUGACGUGCCGCCCCUGUAGACCAGGUCUAUAAACCCCGUCCUGACCUCGCCUACGUGGCCCCCUGUAGACCAGGUCUAUAAACCGCGUCCUGACGUGCCGCCCCCUGUAGACCAGGUCUAUAAACCGCGUCCUGACGUGCCGCCCCCUGUAGACCAGGUCUAUAAACCGCGUCCUGACGUGCCGCCCCCUGUAGACCAGGUCUAUAAACCGCGUCCUGACGUGCCGCCCCCUGUAGACCAGGUCUAUAAACCCCGUCCUGACCUCGCCUACGUGGCCCCCUGUAGACCAGGUCUAUAAACCGCGUCCUGACGUGCCGCCCCCUGUAGACCAGGUCUAUAAACCGCGUCCUGACGUGCUGCCCCCUGUAGACCAAGUCUAUAAACCGCGUCCUGACGUGCCGUCCCCUGUAGACCAGGUCUAUAAACCGCGUCCUGACGUGCCGUCCCCUGUAGACCAGGUCUAUAAACCGCGUCCUGACGUGCCGUCCCCUGUAGACCAGGUCUAUAAACCGCGUCCUGACGUUCCGUCCCCUGUAGACCAGGUCUAUAAACCGCGUCCUGACGUGCCGCCCCCUGUAGACCAGGUCUAUAAACCGCGUCCUGACGUGCCGUCCCCUGUAGACCAGGUCUAUAAACCGCGUCCUGACGUGCCGCCCCUGUAGACCAGGUCUAUAAACCGCGUCCUGACGUGCCGCCCCUGUAGACCAGGUCUAUAAACCGCGUCCUGACGUGCCGCCCCCUGUAGACCAGGUCUAUAAACCAUUUGUGUAGAGCGGCUGCUUUGCCAGAGGUUCUGGGAUGUGUCCAGUCAGUACGUGGUGAGAACCGGUGUCUUACCACAGGUCCCUGUGGCUGAGGGAUGGGCAUGCCAGGCCGAACCCCCAGUA
Long non-coding RNA from Oncorhynchus keta (chum salmon), 1340 nucleotides. RefSeq lists it as uncharacterized. NCBI's taxonomy places the organism in Eukaryota, Metazoa, Chordata, Actinopteri, Salmoniformes, Salmonidae. The record is from RefSeq and is a predicted model, not a curated record. The transcript has 9 exons.